AUGCCUUUGCGUCCUCAUAAGCUUAGCUCCCACAUAUCAGUGAGAACACACGAUAUUUGGUUUUCCAUUCCUGACUUAUGUCACUUAGAAUAAUAGUCUCCACUUCCAUCCA
Long non-coding RNA from Nomascus leucogenys (northern white-cheeked gibbon), 112 nucleotides. RefSeq lists it as uncharacterized. Lineage: Eukaryota; Metazoa; Chordata; Mammalia; Primates; Hylobatidae. The record is from RefSeq and is a predicted model, not a curated record. The transcript has 3 exons.